AUACUUACCUGACGAGGCAGUCAACCGCGAUCAAGCAGGCAGUUCUGCCUAGGCGAGGCCUAGCCAUUGCACUUCGGCCGGGCUGACCCUAGCGAUUAUCCCAAAUGUGGAUAACUCGGUCGUGUAAUUUCUGUUAGUGGGGACUGCGUUCGCGCUAUCCCCU
This is a small nuclear RNA of Styela clava, 163 nucleotides long. RefSeq annotates it as U1 spliceosomal RNA. The record is from RefSeq and is a predicted model, not a curated record. Lineage: Eukaryota; Metazoa; Chordata; Ascidiacea; Stolidobranchia; Styelidae.